Streptomyces uncialis is the source of this 140-nucleotide non-coding RNA. The record is from Rfam. Lineage: Bacteria; Bacillati; Actinomycetota; Actinomycetes; Kitasatosporales; Streptomycetaceae.
UUCGCAGCCGUGUUCCAAUCCGGCUGAUACACACUCAAGUUCAGGGGAAGCCGGUCGAACUCCGGCGCUGACCCGCAACCGUAGGCCCGUCGCACCGCGGACGGGCGAGCCGGACUGCCUGGACUUGGCUCUACGCAGCG